UGGGCAAGAGCACAGGCAUUGGAGUUAUCCCUGGGUCCUGAUCGCAGCUCUGCGCUUUGACCACCUGCAUGGAUAACACCUUCCAAACUGGGCGGCUGGGUUGUUGUAAGCACAGCACUGAACACGGAGCAUGGCUGCUAAGGCAUCUGCGCGAAGCAUUGUACGAAUGAAAUGGAAGGUUGUGAAGCCAAAGAUUAAGACGUCACUUAGGAGAUUCUACUACACUGAUCCGGGGGAGAUUCGAAGAAACCGUCAGUGGGGACCGGCGAGUGGUGAAAGAGAGAAGGACAUCGUCACACUUGCAUUUUGAAAAUAUUCUGGUUGCAAAAUGGAGAUUGGAGGGAGGCAAGAGUGAAGGCAGCAAGACCAGUCAAGAUAUGAUAGAGGUAGGUAAAACGGAUACCUUUUGGGAAGCAAAAAGCAGCCAGAUUAGGAUUUAUAUUGGACAAGGA
This 452-nucleotide long non-coding RNA is filed under the name Mustela putorius furo (domestic ferret). RNAcentral's name for it is "lncRNA (ENSMPUG00000024076.1)". Lineage: Eukaryota; Metazoa; Chordata; Mammalia; Carnivora; Mustelidae. The record is from RNAcentral.